Molecule: ribosomal RNA, 443 nt
Filed under: uncultured bacterium
Lineage: Bacteria
Description: partial 16S ribosomal RNA
Rfam family: Bacterial small subunit ribosomal RNA
Source: RNAcentral
CCUACGGGAGGCAGCAGUGAGGAAUAUUGGGCAAUGGGCGCAAGCCUGAACCAGCAAAGCCGCGUGAAGGAAGAAGGCUUUCGGGUUUGAAACUUCUUUUCGCCGGGGCGCAGAAAGUGACGGUACCUGAUGAAUAAGCCACGGCUAACUACGUGCCAGCAGCCGCGGUAGUCCGUAGGUGGCAAGAGUUAGCCGGAUUUAUUGGGUUUAAAUGGCGUGUAGGCGGGAGUGCAAGUCAGAUGUGAAAACCCAGGGUUCAAACCUGAGCCUGCCUUUGAAACUGGGUUUCUUGAGUGCUGGAGAGGCAAGCGGAAUUCGGUGUGUAGCGGUGAAAUGCGUAGAUAUACGGCGGAACACCAGUGGCGAAGGCGGAUUGCCGGACAGGAACUGACGCUGAGGCGCGAAAGCGUGGGGAGCAAACAGGAUUAGAUACCCGUGUAGUC